Molecule: RNase P RNA, 337 nt
Filed under: Clostridia bacterium
Lineage: Bacteria; Bacillati; Bacillota; Clostridia
Description: RNase P RNA component class A
Rfam family: Bacterial RNase P class A
About the family: Ribonuclease P (RNase P) is a ubiquitous endoribonuclease, found in archaea, bacteria and eukarya as well as chloroplasts and mitochondria. Its best characterised activity is the generation of mature 5'-ends of tRNAs by cleaving the 5'-leader elements of precursor-tRNAs.
Source: RNAcentral
UGAGUAAAUCUGACAAUCGCGCAUUUAUGUGAGGAAAGUCCGGGCUCCAUAGAGCAGGGUGCUGGGUAAUACCCAGUGGAGGUGACUCCAAGGAAAGUGCAACAGAGAGAUACCGCCUGAAUUUUUCAGGUAAGGGUGGAAAGGUGCGGUAAGAGCGCACCAGCGUAUUGGUGACUUUACGGCUAUGUAAACCCCAUCUGGAGCAAGACCAAGUAGGGAUAUAAAAAAGGGGCUGCUCGUCUCUUCCCGUAGGUAGGUUGCUAGAGCCUGUCUGGUAACAGCAGGUCGAGAUAGAUGAUUGUCCACGACAGAACCCGGCUUACGAUUUGCUCAAUUA